UACGGAGGGAGCUAGCGUUGUUCGGAAUUACUGGGCGUAAAGCGCGCGUAGGCGGCUUUGUAAGUCAGGGGUGAAAUCCCGGGGCUCAACCUCGGAACUGCCUUUGAUACUGCAAAUCUCGAGUCCGGAAGAGGUGAGUGGAAUUCCUAGUGUAGAGGUGAAAUUCGUAGAUAUUAGGAAGAACACCAGUGGCGAAGGCGGCUCACUGGUCCGGUACUGACGCUGAGGUGCGAAAGCGUGGGGAGCAAACAGG
This 253-nucleotide ribosomal RNA is filed under the name uncultured bacterium. RNAcentral's name for it is "partial 16S ribosomal RNA". It matches the Rfam family "Bacterial small subunit ribosomal RNA", at positions 524 to 776 of the family's 1533-position model. The record is from RNAcentral.